GAUGAACGCUGGCGGCGUGCCUAACACAUGCAAGUCGAACGGAAAGACGAGGCUCUUGCUCCUCUGACGUGAGCGGCGCGGGGGUGUGAAACAUGUGUAUAACCCACCUAAAUUACUGGGAAAACCUGGGGAAACCGGAGCUAACACCGGCUAACAUCUUGAGCCGGAUGGUUGAAUAGCGAAAGACGGUGUUGCGGUCGAUGAUACGUGGUCUCAGGCCGUAGUAGGUAGUGGGUAAGGUAACGGCUUACCAAGGCAACGAUGCGUAGCCGAACUGAGAGGGUGAUCGGCCACACUGGGACUGAGACACGGCCCAGACUCCUACGGGAGGCAGCAGUAGGGAAUCUUGAGCAAUGGGCGAAAGCCUGACCGAGCAACGCCGAGUGAGUGAUGAAGGUCUUCGGGUCGUAAAGCACUGUUAUUGGGGAAGAAAAAAUGUGGGAGUAUCUCUGCACGUCAUGACGGUACCUAAUCAAAAAGCCACGGCUAACUUCGUG
Molecule: ribosomal RNA, 497 nt
Filed under: uncultured bacterium
Lineage: Bacteria
Description: partial 16S ribosomal RNA
Rfam family: Bacterial small subunit ribosomal RNA
Source: RNAcentral